GGCGGCAGGCCUAACACAUGCAAGUCGAACGGUAACAGGAAGAAGCUUGCUUCUUUGCUGACGAGUGGCGGACGGGUGAGUAAUGUCUGGGAAACUGCCUGAUGGAGGGGGAUAACUACUGGAAACGGUAGCUAAUACCGCAUAACGUCGCAAGACCAAAGAGGGGGACCUUCGGGCCUCUUGCCAUCGGAUGUGCCCAGAUGGGAUUAGCUAGUAGGUGGGGUAAAGGCUCACCUAGGCGACGAUCCCUAGCUGGUCUGAGAGGAUGACCAGCCACACUGGAACUGAGACACGGUCCAGACUCCUACGGGAGGCAGCAGUGGGGAAUAUUGCACAAUGGGCGCAAGCCUGAUGCAGCCAUGCCGCGUGUAUGAAGAAGGCCUUCGGGUUGUAAAGUACUUUCAGCGGGGAGGAAGGGAGUAAAGUUAAUACCUUUGCUCAUUGACGUUACCCGCAGAAGAAGCACCGGCUAACUCCGUGCCAGCAGCCGCGGUAAUACGGAGGGUGCAAGCGUUAAUCGGAAUUACUGGGCGUAAAGCGCACGCAGGCGGUUUGUUAAGUCAGAUGUGAAAUCCCCGGGCUCAACCUGGGAACUGCAUCUGAUACUGGCAAGCUUGAGUCUCGUAGAGGGGGGUAGAAUUCCAGGUGUAGCGGUGAAAUGCGUAGAGAUCUGGAGGAAUACCGGUGGCGAAGGCGGCCCCCUGGACGAAGACUGACGCUCAGGUGCGAAAGCGUGGGGGGCAAACAGGAUUAGAUACCCUGGUAGUCCACGCCGUAAACGAUGUCGACUUGGAGGUUGUGCCCUUGAGGCGUGGCUUCCGGAGCUAACGCGUUAAGUCGACCGCCUGGGGAGUACGGCCGCAAGGUUAAAACUCAAAUGAAUUGACGGGGGCCCGCACAAGCGGUGGAGCAUGUGGUUUAAUUCGAUGCAACGCGAAGAACCUUACCUGGUCUUGACAUCCACAGAACUUUCCAGAGAUGGAUUGGUGCCUUCGGGAACUGUGAGACAGGUGCUGCAUGGCUGCCGUCAGCUCGUGUUGUGAAAUGUUGGGUUAAGUCCCGCAACGGGCGCAACCCUUAUCCUUUGUUGCCAGCGGUCCGGCCGGGAACUCAAAGGAGACUGCCAGUGAUAAACUGGAGGAAGGUGGGGAUGACGUCAAGUCAUCAUGGCCCUUACGACCAGGGCUACACACGUGCUACAAUGGCGCAUACAAAGAGAAGCGACCUCGCGAGAGCAAGCGGACCUCAUAAAGUGCGUCGUAGUCCGGAUUGGAGUCUGCAACUCGACUCCAUGAAGUCGGAAUCGCUAGUAAUCGUGGAUCAGAAUGCCACGGUGAAUACGUUCCCGGGCCUUGUACACACCGCCCGUCACACCAUGGGAGUGGGUUGCAAAAGAAGUAGGUAGCUUAACCUUCGGGAGGGCGCUUACCACUUUGUGAUUCAUGACUGGGGUGAAGUCAUAA
This 1463-nucleotide ribosomal RNA is filed under the name uncultured organism. RNAcentral describes it as "SSU rRNA". It matches the Rfam family "Bacterial small subunit ribosomal RNA". The record is from RNAcentral.